GAUCUUUUUGAAGGUGAUGAUGAUGAUGAUCUAAUGGAGGAUGGGGUUUGGGACGUUGUUUUUGGAGGUGGGGUGGUUGAAGUGGAAAUGGGUUGUGUAGUUUUUGUUGU
Quercus lobata is the source of this 110-nucleotide long non-coding RNA. RefSeq lists it as uncharacterized. NCBI's taxonomy places the organism in Eukaryota, Viridiplantae, Streptophyta, Magnoliopsida, Fagales, Fagaceae. The record is from RefSeq and is a predicted model, not a curated record. The transcript has 3 exons.